RNAcentral lists this ribosomal RNA (776 nucleotides) under uncultured Neocallimastigales. RNAcentral describes it as "partial large subunit ribosomal RNA". It matches the Rfam family "Eukaryotic large subunit ribosomal RNA", at positions 22 to 628 of the family's 3401-position model. The record is from RNAcentral. Lineage: Eukaryota; Fungi; Neocallimastigomycota; Neocallimastigomycetes; Neocallimastigales.
GUACACGCUGUGACUAGCAUAUCAAUAAGCGGAGGAAAAGAAACUAACAAGGAUUCCCCUAGUAACGGCGAGUGAAGCGAGAAGGAGCUCAAAUUUGAAAUCUUAAAGGGUUUCCCUUUACGAAUUGUAGUUUAAAGAAGUGUUUUCUGUUGAGGUUUUGGUAAAAGUUCUUUGGAAUAGGACAUCAUAGAGGGUGAGAAUCCCGUAUUUGACCUUUACUUUCAACUUUGUGAUACACUUUCAAAGAGUCGGAUUGUUUGGGAAUGCAGUCCAAAAUGGGUGGUAAAUUUCAUCUAAAGCUAAAUAUUGGCGAGAGGACCGAUAGCGAACAAGUACCGUGAGGGAAAGAUGAAAAGAACUUUGAAAAGAGAGUUAAACAGUACGUGAAAUUGUCAAAAGGGAAGCGUUUGACACCAGUGUUGUUUUUCUGAAAAUCAAUUAAAGAACUGUUUAUGCUAAGUUGUUUAGACUUUAUCAGCUAACUGUUUAGUUUUGAGCUUUUCUUUAAUGCACUUUUCAGUUAACAAGUCAACAUCAAUUUCUUUUGCUGUAAAAAAGCUUGAGGAAGGUGGCUUGAGAUUCGUCUUAAGUGUUUAUAGCCUCUUGCCUAUGCAGUCGGAGAGAUUGAGGUCUGCAGCGUAGAUCCUUCGGGGCUAAAUGCAUUUGUGCUAAGUUAUAGCAUUUUAUAGACAACUUGUUGACUAUGAUUUGUCUUGUAGCUUACUCGCUUAUGUUAUUUUACCUACGCUUAGGAUGUUGAGUCGUAGAGCACGCAG